AAAUUGAAGAGUUUGAUCAUGGCUCAGAUUGAACGCUGGCGGCAGGCCUAACACAUGCAAGUCGAACGGUAACAGGAAGCAGCUUGCUGCUUCGCUGACGAGUGGCGGACGGGUGAGUAAUGUCUGGGAAACUGCCUGAUGGAGGGGGAUAACUACUGGAAACGGUGGCUAAUACCGCAUAACGUCGCAAGACCAAAGAGGGGGACCUUCGGGCCUCUUGCCAUCAGAUGUGCCCAGAUGGGAUUAGCUUGUUGGUGAGGUAACGGCUCACCAAGGCGACGAUCCCUAGCUGGUCUGAGAGGAUGACCAGCCACACUGGAACUGAGACACGGUCCAGACUCCUACGGGAGGCAGCAGUGGGGAAUAUUGCACAAUGGGCGCAAGCCUGAUGCAGCCAUGCCGCGUGUAUGAAGAAGGCCUUCGGGUUGUAAAGUACUUUCAGCGGGGAGGAAGGUGUUGUGGUUAAUAACCGCAGCAAUUGACGUUACCCGCAGAAGAAGCACUGGCUAACUCCGUGCCAGCAGCCGCGGUAAUACGGAGGGUGCAAGCGUUAAUCGGAAUUACUGGGCGUAAAGCGCACGCAGGCGGUCUGUCAAGUCGGAUGUGAAAUCCCCGGGCUCAACCUGGGAACUGCAUUCGAAACUGGCAGGCUUGAGUCUUGUAGAGGGGGGUAGAAUUCCAGGUGUAGCGGUGAAAUGCGUAGAGAUCUGGAGGAAUACCGGUGGCGAAGGCGGCCCCCUGGACAAAGACUGACGCUCAGGUGCGAAAGCGUGGGGAGCAAACAGGAUUAGAUACCCUGGUAGUCCACGCCGUAAACGAUGUCUACUUGGAGGUUGUGCCCUUGAGGCGUGGCUUCCGGAGCUAACGCGUUAAGUAGACCGCCUGGGGAGUACGGCCGCAAGGUUAAAACUCAAAUGAAUUGACGGGGGCCCGCACAAGCGGUGGAGCAUGUGGUUUAAUUCGAUGCAACGCGAAGAACCUUACCUGGUCUUGACAUCCACAGAAGAAUCCAGAGAUGGAUUUGUGCCUUCGGGAACUGUGAGACAGGUGCUGCAUGGCUGUCGUCAGCUCGUGUUGUGAAAUGUUGGGUUAAGUCCCGCAACGAGCGCAACCCUUAUCCUUUGUUGCCAGCGGUUAGGCCGGGAACUCAAAGGAGACUGCCAGUGAUAAACUGGAGGAAGGUGGGGAUGACGUCAAGUCAUCAUGGCCCUUACGACCAGGGCUACACACGUGCUACAAUGGCGCAUACAAAGAGAAGCGACCUCGCGAGAGCAAGCGGACCUCAUAAAGUGCGUCGUAGUCCGGAUUGGAGUCUGCAACUCGACUCCAUGAAGUCGGAAUCGCUAGUAAUCGUGGAUCAGAAUGCCACGGUGAAUACGUUCCCGGGCCUUGUACACACCGCCCGUCACACCAUGGGAGUGGGUUGCAAAAGAAGUAGGUAGCUUAACCUUCGGGAGGGCGCUUACCACUUUGUGAUUCAUGACUGGGGUGAAGUCGUAACAAGGUAACCGUAGGGGAACCUGCGGUUGGA
This 1531-nucleotide ribosomal RNA is filed under the name Salmonella enterica. RNAcentral's name for it is "partial 16S ribosomal RNA". It matches the Rfam family "Bacterial small subunit ribosomal RNA". The record is from RNAcentral. Lineage: Bacteria; Pseudomonadati; Pseudomonadota; Gammaproteobacteria; Enterobacterales; Enterobacteriaceae.